Molecule: ribosomal RNA, 1821 nt
Filed under: human gut metagenome
Description: bacterial LSU rRNA
Rfam family: Bacterial large subunit ribosomal RNA
Source: RNAcentral
AAAGAAAGCGUAAUAGCUCACUGGUCGAGUCGGCCUGCGCGGAAGAUGUAACGGGGCUAAACCAUGCACCGAAGCUGCGGCAGCGACGCUUAUGCGUUGUUGGGUAGGGGAGCGUUCUGUAAGCCUGCGAAGGUGUGCUGUGAGGCAUGCUGGAGGUAUCAGAAGUGCGAAUGCUGACAUAAGUAACGAUAAAGCGGGUGAAAAGCCCGCUCGCCGGAAGACCAAGGGUUCCUGUCCAACGUUAAUCGGGGCAGGGUGAGUCGACCCCUAAGGCGAGGCCGAAAGGCGUAGUCGAUGGGAAACAGGUUAAUAUUCCUGUACUUGGUGUUACUGCGAAGGGGGGACGGAGAAGGCUAUGUUGGCCGGGCGACGGUUGUCCCGGUUUAAGCGUGUAGGCUGGUUUUCCAGGCAAAUCCGGAAAAUCAAGGCUGAGGCGUGAUGACGAGGCACUACGGUGCUGAAGCAACAAAUGCCCUGCUUCCAGGAAAAGCCUCUAAGCAUCAGGUAACAUCAAAUCGUACCCCAAACCGACACAGGUGGUCAGGUAGAGAAUACCAAGGCGCUUGAGAGAACUCGGGUGAAGGAACUAGGCAAAAUGGUGCCGUAACUUCGGGAGAAGGCACGCUGAUAUGUAGGUGAAGCGACUUGCUCGUGGAGCUGAAAUCAGUCGAAGAUACCAGCUGGCUGCAACUGUUUAUUAAAAACACAGCACUGUGCAAACACGAAAGUGGACGUAUACGGUGUGACGCCUGCCCGGUGCCGGAAGGUUAAUUGAUGGGGUCAGCGCAAGCGAAGCUCUUGAUCGAAGCCCCGGUAAACGGCGGCCGUAACUAUAACGGUCCUAAGGUAGCGAAAUUCCUUGUCGGGUAAGUUCCGACCUGCACGAAUGGCGUAAUGAUGGCCAGGCUGUCUCCACCCGAGACUCAGUGAAAUUGAACUCGCUGUGAAGAUGCAGUGUACCCGCGGCAAGACGGAAAGACCCCGUGAACCUUUACUAUAGCUUGACACUGAACAUUGAGCCUUGAUGUGUAGGAUAGGUGGGAGGCUUAGAAGUGUGGACGCCAGUCUGCAUGGAGCCGACCUUGAAAUACCACCCUUUAAUGUUUGAUGUUCUAACGUUGACCCGUAAUCCGGGUUGCGGACAGUGUCUGGUGGGUAGUUUGACUGGGGCGGUCUCCUCCUAAAGAGUAACGGAGGAGCACGAAGGUUGGCUAAUCCUGGUCGGACAUCAGGAGGUUAGUGCAAUGGCAUAAGCCAGCUUGACUGCGAGCGUGACGGCGCGAGCAGGUGCGAAAGCAGGUCAUAGUGAUCCGGUGGUUCUGAAUGGAAGGGCCAUCGCUCAACGGAUAAAAGGUACUCCGGGGAUAACAGGCUGAUACCGCCCAAGAGUUCAUAUCGACGGCGGUGUUUGGCACCUCGAUGUCGGCUCAUCACAUCCUGGGGCUGAAGUAGGUCCCAAGGGUAUGGCUGUUCGCCAUUUAAAGUGGUACGCGAGCUGGGUUUAGAACGUCGUGAGACAGUUCGGUCCCUAUCUGCCGUGGGCGCUGGAGAACUGAGGGGGGCUGCUCCUAGUACGAGAGGACCGGAGUGGACGCAUCACUGGUGUUCGGGUUGUCAUGCCAAUGGCACUGCCCGGUAGCUAAAUGCGGAAGAGAUAAGUGCUGAAAGCAUCUAAGCACGAAACUUGCCCCGAGAUGAGUUCUCCCUGACUCCUUGAGAGUCCUGAAGGAACGUUGAAGACGACGACGUUGAUAGGCCGGGUGUGUAAGCGCAGCGAUGCGUUGAGCUAACCGGUACUAAUGAACCGUGAGGCUUAACCUU